This 187-nucleotide unclassified non-coding RNA is filed under the name Glomus sp. RNAcentral describes it as "partial contains 5.8S ribosomal RNA and internal transcribed spacer 2". The stretch from base 1 to 65 matches the Rfam family "5.8S ribosomal RNA", at positions 84 to 154 of the family's 154-position model. Lineage: Eukaryota; Fungi; Glomeromycota; Glomeromycetes; Glomerales; Glomeraceae. The record is from RNAcentral.
GUGAAUCAUCGAAUCUUUGAACGCAAAUUGCACUCUCUUCGGAGAGUACGCCUGUUUGAGGGUCAGCCUAAAAAAAAAAACCGACAUAGUCGCUGUUUCGCGGUGACAUUCGUUGGAUAUUUGUUUAUUUUAAAUUUUUGUGUUUUAAUUAUUUGAAAAUUUUCUUUAUGUUUCUCCGAAAAUUUUU